This 300-nucleotide unclassified non-coding RNA is filed under the name Phylloporus sp. Its description in RNAcentral is "partial contains small subunit ribosomal RNA and internal transcribed spacer 1". The stretch from base 1 to 46 matches the Rfam family "Eukaryotic small subunit ribosomal RNA", at positions 1786 to 1831 of the family's 1831-position model. Lineage: Eukaryota; Fungi; Basidiomycota; Agaricomycetes; Boletales; Boletaceae. The record is from RNAcentral.
AAGUCGUAACAAGGUUUCCGUAGGUGAACCUGCGGAAGGAUCAUUAAUAAAUAAAGGGAGCAAUCUCUUUUUAUUCGCAACACUGUGAACUGCAUUUUGAAUAGCAAUGCUAUUCUAAUUGAUUGCUUGUUUUUUGAUGGCUUGGGCUUGGCUUUGUUUUGUGAAAAGCAGAGCAGAGCAGAGCAGAGCAGAGCAGAAAAAGACAAGCAACGUGUUCAAACACACAAGUAUUGUAAUUUGUAAAAGUUCUAAUAACGUUGUUUUUAACUUUAAAUUUUUAACAACUGUUGGCAACGGAUC